GAUGAACGCUGGCGGCGUGCCUAAUACAUGCAAGUCGAGCGAACAGACGAGGAGCUUGCUCCUCUGACGUUAGCGGCGGACGGGUGAGUAACACGUGGAUAACCUACCUAUAAGACUGGGAUAACUUUGGGAAACCGGAGCUAAUACCGGAUAAUAUAUUGAACCGCAUGGUUCAAUAGUGAAAGACGGUUUUGCUGUCACUUAUAGAUGGAUCCGCGCCGCAUUAGCUAGUUGGUAAGGUAACGGCUUACCAAGGCAACGAUGCGUAGCCGACCUGAGAGGGUGAUCGGCCACACUGGAACUGAGACACGGUCCAGACUCCUACGGGAGGCAGCAGUAGGGAAUCUUCCGCAAUGGGCGAAAGCCUGACGGAGCAACGCCGCGUGAGUGAUGAAGGUCUUCGGAUCGUAAAACUCUGUUAUUAGGGAAGAACAAAUGUGUAAGUAACUAUGCACGUCUUGACGGUACCUAAUCAGAAAGCCACGGCUAACUACGUG
RNAcentral lists this ribosomal RNA (497 nucleotides) under uncultured bacterium. Its description in RNAcentral is "partial 16S ribosomal RNA". It matches the Rfam family "Bacterial small subunit ribosomal RNA", at positions 28 to 507 of the family's 1533-position model. The record is from RNAcentral.